This 263-nucleotide ribosomal RNA is filed under the name uncultured Actinomycetes bacterium. RNAcentral describes it as "uncultured actinobacterium partial 16S ribosomal RNA". It matches the Rfam family "Bacterial small subunit ribosomal RNA", at positions 28 to 276 of the family's 1533-position model. The record is from RNAcentral. Lineage: Bacteria; Bacillati; Actinomycetota; Actinomycetes.
GACGAACGCUGGCGGCGUGCUUAACACAUGCAAGUCGAGCGGUAAGGCCCUUUCGGGGGUACACGAGCGGCGAACGGGUGAGUAACACGUGGGUGACCUGCCCUCAGCUCUGGGAUAAGCCCGGGAAACUGGGUCUAAUACCGGAUAUGACCACAUGUCGCAUGGUGUGUGGUGGAAAGUCCUGGGUUUAGUUGUCUGGGUUCGGCUGGGGAUGGGCCCGCGGCCUAUCAGCUUGUUGGUGGGGUGAUGGCCUACCAAGGCGA